This is a non-coding RNA of Triticum aestivum (bread wheat), 134 nucleotides long. The record is from Rfam. NCBI's taxonomy places the organism in Eukaryota, Viridiplantae, Streptophyta, Magnoliopsida, Poales, Poaceae.
AGAGUACUCCCUCCGUCCGAAAAUAUUUAUCAUCAAAAUAAAUAAAAGAAAUGUAUAUAGAUGUAUUUUAGUUCUAGAUACGUCCUUUUUUGUCCAUUUUGAUGACAAGUAUUUUCAGACGGAAAGAGUAUUAC